GAACAAACGAGCCAUUCCCAGGAAGGCUCUGGAAGGGUUUUGGCUGCGAGAAGGCAGAGCACAGAGCAUACGGAUGAGGAGCAAGGCCAGGUGGCUGGUGCUGGGAGAAGGGAGCUGAGUGUGCAGUUUGGGGACAGCGCUGAGAGUGAUGAAGGUUGAUCCUGACCCUCCUGAGGACCCGCUGCUGAACUCUCUGCCUGAGCUCUCAGUGCUGGAGCGGCUGGGCCUGCACAGGUAGGACUCCUGCCCUUUCUCCUCCUCUGGGGUUAAACUCUGCUGUGUGCCCAAGACGCUGGAAGGUUUCAAGCUGUAGGCGAAGGUGACAGCGAGCUGGUGGCUGGGUGGGUCUUGCACAGGCAGCCAUCAGAAUAGCCAAGGUAGCUAUGGGGUACACAUCCUUUCAUCUCUGGGUUGCUGGUUCAAAUCCAGCGCAGGGGCCUCCUUCUCCUCCCGCAGCAGAUGGGAGUUGCUCAUAUCCCGCAGGAGGCAGAAUCAGGCCCUGGGUUGGCUAUGACUGAGCAGUCCGCAUUUCAGGGGAGAUGUUCCCAGCAGACAGGUUGUCACGAUGGGCAUGAAUUGCAGGAGGUGGCUGGCUGGUCUGUUUCAUGGCCACUUCAGAGGGUUUUCGACUCGUUCUAGUUGGACUGAAACCCAAACCUGUGGAGACGAGACUGUGCCGGGGGUGAGAGUGGCUUUAACGGAGCAGGACGUGGAGGUAAGCUCUGCCCUUCGGCCGAUCAGCCGUGGCAAUGAGAGACCGAUGCUCCCGAGGACUGUCCCCUCUAGCUGCGUGUAUGGGCUUUCAUUACCCAGGCUGCCUCGUGCAUCUCCCCCUCCAACCCAGACUGUGUGGUGCAUUCUCAUGAGGCCAAUGGCGACAGUGAAUGGGUUAAACCAGGGUCCCUUUAUGCAGUGUGAAAUAGGGUUACAGCCUGGAACAGUCCCCUUGGGUCAGCGCCAGGAUUCGGGGCAUCAGUCUGGUAUAGGAGGCCACUGGCCAGAGUGGUGCUGAAGUUUAGCAAUGCUCACCUCUAGGUGACAGGUCAAAUCCAGCAGUGACCAGAAUUGGUUAUUACGGCCAUUUGAAGGCUGUUGAAGUUGCCCUGCCCCAGGAACCCCCUUGUUUUGCAGGCUCACCAAUUCACGAUCUCAGUAGAGACACCAAGGAUUGGAUGGUCUAUAUUUUACAGACAGGGAAAGUGAGGCACAAGAGGCGAAGCAACCUGCCCAGGGUCCCAGAGCCAGGAACAGAACCUAGAGUUCCUGACUCAGUGUCCUGGCCCAAAACCACAAGCUCAUUCUUCCGCCUUUCGUUCUUAUCUGAAUUCCCCUAGCCGUUUCAACCACAUACAGAAAUGCUUCACUUCCCCUCCUCCAAACAGUGGCCUUGACGCAUGCAUUUAAACUACUGCUGUGUUCCAGCCCAGAGCUGGCUGCAUUUUAGUCCUAAAUGAAGUGAUCCUUCCGUGCACAUAUACAGUACAUGGUAAUGCUAUCAAGUGCUCUGAGCCUUGCAAAAGCAAUGCACACACGGUCCAGGAUCCCAGCUGUGUGAGCAGUCCUAGCUGCACUGAUGUGCUGGUUAAAGGGCCCCAUUCCCUUCUCCCUUUACCCCAGUGUAAACCCACUGGUGUGAGACUACAGUUGGGCACAUGUAGAACAGAGCGGGCUGCACAAACAGCUCCCAGCACUUCCCGUUGCCUGCUGGAGCAGAGCAGG
Molecule: long non-coding RNA, 1719 nt
Filed under: Chrysemys picta bellii (western painted turtle)
Lineage: Eukaryota; Metazoa; Chordata; Testudines; Emydidae
Description: lncRNA (ENSCPBG00000017858.1)
Source: RNAcentral